RNAcentral lists this ribosomal RNA (481 nucleotides) under uncultured bacterium. RNAcentral describes it as "partial 16S ribosomal RNA". It matches the Rfam family "Bacterial small subunit ribosomal RNA", at positions 28 to 523 of the family's 1533-position model. The record is from RNAcentral.
GACGAACGCUGGCGGCGUGCUUAACACAUGCAAGUCGAACGAUGAAGGAGAGCUUGCUCUCCGGAUUAGUGGCGAACGGGUGAGUAACACGUGACUAACCUGCCCCUUUCUCUGGGAUAACGCUCCGAAAGGAGUGCUAAUACCGGAUACGAACUCUGAACACAUGUUCGGAGUUGGAAAGUUUUUCGGAAAGGGAUGGAGUCGCGGCCUAUCAGCUUGUUGGUGAGGUAACGGCUCACCAAGGCGACGACGGGUAGCCGGCCUGAGAGGGCGAGCGGCCACACUGGGACUGAGACACGGCCCAGACUCCUACGGGAGGCAGCAGUGGGGAAUAUUGCACAAUGGGCGAAAGCCUGAUGCAGCGACGCCGCGUGAGGGAUGAAGGUCUUCGGAUUGUAAACCUCUUUCAGUAGGGACGAAGCGAAAGUGACGGUACCUAAAGAAGAAGCACUGGCUAACUACGUGCCAGCCGCCGCAGUAA